This 253-nucleotide ribosomal RNA is filed under the name uncultured bacterium. Its description in RNAcentral is "partial 16S ribosomal RNA". It matches the Rfam family "Bacterial small subunit ribosomal RNA", at positions 524 to 776 of the family's 1533-position model. The record is from RNAcentral.
UACGUAGGGUCCGAGCGUUGUCCGGAAUUACUGGGCGUAAAGAGCUCGUAGGUGGUUUGUCGCGUUGUUCGUGAAAACUCACAGCUUAACUGUGGGCGUGCGGGCGAUACGGGCAGACUGGAGUACUGCAGGGGAGACUGGAAUUCCUGGUGUAGCGGUGGAAUGCGCAGAUAUCAGGAGGAACACCGAUGGCGAAGGCAGUUCUCUGGGCCGUAACUGACGCUGAGGAGCGCAAGCGUGGGGAGCGAACAGG